Long non-coding RNA from Tripterygium wilfordii, 916 nucleotides. RefSeq lists it as uncharacterized. The transcript is spliced from 4 exons. Lineage: Eukaryota; Viridiplantae; Streptophyta; Magnoliopsida; Celastrales; Celastraceae. The record is from RefSeq and is a predicted model, not a curated record.
UUUAGGGUUAAUUCUACUAUGAUGAUUGUUAUGACUAUUGGGUGGAGAAAACAAUUACAAGGAGAUGGAGAGACUAUAAAUGUAACUUGAAGUCUAAUGUCUACUAUAAUCAUGAUACUGUGGAGGAAGUCAUUUGUAAUAGACCAAAAGAUGUAGAUGAAGCGCAAUGGGCAACUCUUGUUGUUUUUUGGAGUUCCGAGAAGGGAAAGAAGCGUAGUGAGAUCAACACAAAUAAUAGAAAGAAGCAAAAAAUUAUGCACACUUCUCGGACUAAAAGUUUCGCUAGAAAGGCGGAAGAGAUGCGAGAGAAAACUGGUGUUAACCCAAGCAGAGCUGAAUUAUUUCUUGAGACGCAUAAGAAGAAGGCUGGGGGUUAUUCGAAUGAUUAAACCGCAGCUUUAGCGGUAAAUAAUUACUAUAUUUGUGUAGUUUAUAUAUACAUGAUAUUUGCAUCUUUGGUGGUUCAAUCCAGAUAAUUUUUAUAGGAGAAACUUACAGUAGUAAUGGAGGCUACAUCUUCGAAACCAUCCCAAACCACAAAUACCACAAAUAUUGCUUCAUAGAAUGAUGCCUAUGCUUAGAUUUUUGGAAAAGAACAUGCUGGACGUGUACAUGAUAUUGGUACAGGACCUCCCCCAUCCCAAGUGUUCGGAAACAGUUCUUGUCAUCGCUUUAAUGGAAUGUCAUUCACUUCUAGAAAUAGUGGAGAGAUGCAAGAGUUGAAAUCUAUGAUGGUGAUAAUGAUGACACAUUGGACAACUAUCUCAAAGGAUGGAUGUUCUAGAGACUCCAAAUGCUACAUCACAGGCACCAGAUUCAUCAAGUGAACAUAAGCGAUUCUCAUCUUCGAGUCAUGAUUCUCAAGAUCGAUCUACUCGGUAGGUCCCUAGAGUAUGCAUAUUUGGCGAAACAUGUU